AUACGGAGGGGGCUAGCGUUGUUCGGAAUUACUGGGCGUAAAGCGCGCGUAGGCGGAUUGGUUAGUUGGGGGUGAAAUCCCAGGGCUCAACCCUGGAACUGCCCUCAAUACCGCCAGUCUAGAGAUCGAGAGAGGUGAGUGGAAUUCCUAGUGUAGAGGUGAAAUUCGUAGAUAUUAGGAAGAACACCAGUGGCGAAGGCGGCUCACUGGCUCGAUACUGACGCUGAGGCGCGAAAGCGUGGGGAGCAAACAGGAUUAGAAACCCCGGUAGUCC
RNAcentral lists this ribosomal RNA (274 nucleotides) under uncultured bacterium. RNAcentral describes it as "partial 16S ribosomal RNA". It matches the Rfam family "Bacterial small subunit ribosomal RNA", at positions 523 to 796 of the family's 1533-position model. The record is from RNAcentral.